RNAcentral lists this unclassified non-coding RNA (217 nucleotides) under Preussia flanaganii. Its description in RNAcentral is "partial internal transcribed spacer region". The stretch from base 1 to 46 matches the Rfam family "Eukaryotic small subunit ribosomal RNA", at positions 1786 to 1831 of the family's 1831-position model. The record is from RNAcentral. Lineage: Eukaryota; Fungi; Ascomycota; Dothideomycetes; Pleosporales; Sporormiaceae.
AAGUCGUAACAAGGUUUCCGUAGGUGAACCUGCGGAAGGAUCAUUAUCGUGGGGCUUCGGCCCUCUCGAGAUAGAACCCUUGCCUUUUUGAGUACCUUUCGUUUCCUCGGCGGGCUCGCCCGCCAAUGGGGACCACAAUAAACCCUUUGUAAUGCCUGUAAUCGUCUGACAAAACAAACAAAAAUUAAAACUUUCAACAACGGAUCUCUUGGUUCUG